RNAcentral lists this ribosomal RNA (253 nucleotides) under uncultured bacterium. Its description in RNAcentral is "partial 16S ribosomal RNA". It matches the Rfam family "Bacterial small subunit ribosomal RNA", at positions 524 to 776 of the family's 1533-position model. The record is from RNAcentral.
UACGUAGGGUGCAAGCGUUAUCCGGAAUUAUUGGGCGUAAAGAGCUCGUAGGCGGUCUGUCGCGUCGGCUGUGAAAACUCGGGGCUCAACUCCGAGCUUGCAGUCGAUACGGGCAGGCUAGAGUUCGGCAGGGGAGACUGGAAUUCCUGGUGUAGCGGUGAAAUGCGCAGAUAUCAGGAGGAACACCAGCGGCGAAGGCGGCGCUCUGGGCCGGUACUGACGCUGAGGAGCGAAAGCGUGGGUAGCAAACAGG